RNAcentral lists this ribosomal RNA (710 nucleotides) under Heterorhabdus norvegicus. RNAcentral describes it as "eukaryotic LSU rRNA". It matches the Rfam family "Eukaryotic large subunit ribosomal RNA", at positions 38 to 667 of the family's 3401-position model. The record is from RNAcentral. Lineage: Eukaryota; Metazoa; Arthropoda; Copepoda; Calanoida; Heterorhabdidae.
GCAUAUCAAUAAGCGGAGGAAAAGAAAACAACAGUGAUUCCCUUAGUAAUGGCGAAUGAAACGGGAAUAGCCCAUCGCUGAACUGCAGGCCCUCUCGGUCUCGCGGAAUGUGGCGUUUGGGAGAGUCUUCUCACGGUGUGGACGGCCAGUCAAAGUCCAACUUGACAGUGGCCAUGGCCCAUAGAGGGUGAUAGGCCCGUAAGGCGGCUGUCCCGCUGUGCUGACUUUUCCCCAGAGUCGGGUUGCUUGGGAGUGCAGCCCAAAGUGCGAGGUAAACUCCUCGUAAGGCUAAAUAUGACCCCGAGACCGAUAGCAAACAAGUACCGUGAGGGAAGAUUGAAAAGAACUUUGAAGAGAGAGUUCAAGAGUACGUGAAACUGUGUGGUGGUAAACGGAGGGGCUCUCGAAGUUUCUGAGGGGAACUCAACCUUGGUGUCGCUGGGCCUGGGCGUAUUUGAUCAGCAAUGACUUUGCGCUUAGUCCCCAGUGCCUCCCGGACGCACUUUCUCCUCAGUUUACGGCAGGAACCGUUAGGAGUGGACCAAAGGCCCGGGGUGAAGUUGUCGGUUAUGCUGGCAGCCCCUGGUGUCCUGGCUUUGCACAUGACGCGUAUGUGAGCGGACUCGUAUAGCGAGCAAUUCUCUAUCCCGGUUCGCAUCUCUCUGCCGAGUAGGUCGGUGGCCUCUCCGACCCGUCUUGAAACACGGACC